RNAcentral lists this long non-coding RNA (508 nucleotides) under Malus domestica (apple). RNAcentral's name for it is "long non-coding RNA (MDOM_LNC004595)". Lineage: Eukaryota; Viridiplantae; Streptophyta; Magnoliopsida; Rosales; Rosaceae. The record is from RNAcentral.
AAGGUUGAGCCACCUCCCAUGCCAAAGGUUGAACCACCACCCACCACUAAGGUUGAGCCACCACCCACCCCUAAGGCCGAGCCACCACCCACACCAAAGGUUAAACCACCUCCCACGCCAAAGGCCGAGGCGCCAAAGGUCCAACCACCACCCACCCCUAAGGCUGAGCCACCACCUACCCCUAAGGAUGAGCCACCUCCCAUGGCAAAGGUUGAACCACCACCCACCCCUAAAGCCGAGCCACCACCCACCCCAAAGGCUGAGCCACCACCCGAGCCAAAGGCCGAGGCACCAAAGAUCCAAACACCACCCAUCCCUAAGGCUGAGCCACCACCUACCCCUAAGGCUGAGCCACCUACGACGCCAAAGGUUGAGCCGCCACCUGAGCCAAAGGCCGAGCCACCUCCUACACCUAAAGCUGAGCCACCUUUUGCACCUAAAGCUGAUCCACCUCCCGCACCUAAAGCGGAGCCACCUCCAAUAGCUAAGCCGGAACCUCCUCAAACAC